CUUGGUCAUUUAGAGGAAGUAAAAGUCGUAACAAGGUUUCCGUAGGUGAACCUGCGGAAGGAUCAUUCAUAAUAAGUGUUUUAUGGCACUUUUUAAAUCCAUAUCCACCUUGUGUGCAAUGUCGGUCGAUCUUCUUCAUGGAGAUCGACCAAACAUCAACCUUUAUUUUUUAACUCUUUGUCUGAAAAAUAUUAUGAAUAAACAAUUCAAAAUACAACUUUCAACAACGGAUCUCUUGGCUCUCGCAUCGAUGAAGAACGCAGCGAAAUGCGAUACGUAAUGUGAAUUGCAGAAUCCAGUGAAUCAUCGAAUCUUUGAACGCAUAUUGCGCCCUUUGGUAUUCCGAAGAGCAUGCUUGUUUGAGUAUCAGUAAACACCUCAAAGCUUUUGGAUUUUUUAAUCGAAAAGCUUUGGACUUGAGCAAUCCCAACACCAAUCUUUUUGAGAUCGGUGGCGGGUUGCUUGAAAUGCAGGUGCAGCUGGACAUUCUCCUGAGCUAAAAGCAUAUUCAUUUAGUCCCGUCAAACGGAUUAUUACUUUUGCUGCAGCUAACAUAAAGGGAGUUUGACCGUAUUGGCUGACUGAUGCAGGAUUUCACAAGGGUCGGCAACGAUUCUUGUUAAACUCGAUCUCAAAUCAAGUAAGACUACCCGCUGAACUUAAGCAUAUCAAUAAGCGGAGGAAAAGAAACUAACAAGGAUUCCCCUAGUAACGGCGAAUGAAGCGGGAUGAGCUCAAAUUUAAAAUCUGGCUGGUUUACUAGUCCGAAUUGUAGUUUAUAGAAGCGUUUUCGGUGGCAGCCUGGGUAUAAAUCCUUUGGAAUAGGGUAUCAUAGAGGGUGAGAAUCCCGUCUUUGACUCAGUGCAUGCUACUAUGUGAUACGUUUUCAAAGAGUCGAGUUGUUUGGGAAU
This 911-nucleotide small RNA is filed under the name uncultured zygomycete. RNAcentral describes it as "eukaryotic LSU rRNA". The stretch from base 627 to 911 matches the Rfam family "Eukaryotic large subunit ribosomal RNA", at positions 1 to 281 of the family's 3401-position model. Lineage: Eukaryota; Fungi. The record is from RNAcentral.